Pezoporus flaviventris is the source of this 397-nucleotide long non-coding RNA. RefSeq lists it as uncharacterized. The record is from RefSeq and is a predicted model, not a curated record. The transcript is spliced from 3 exons. NCBI's taxonomy places the organism in Eukaryota, Metazoa, Chordata, Aves, Psittaciformes, Psittacidae.
AUGCUAUCAAGUUGAAAUCUGCCAAAGGCAUGAAAACAGCUGAUACAGACAUAGCACAUCGACGAGUGCAGAUUUCACAUAGUGGAAAAAAUAAGGAGACUUAUAAGUGCAUUAGAUUUUUGAUUCUGUGAUUCCGUGAUCUAGAUACUCCACAGUGUAGCCAUAGAAUGCUUUCAUGCUGUUUAUAUAUACGCACCUGCCUCACUGUCCCAGCCCCCAGAACCAUAGUGUGCCUGCCUCUGGUGUGUUCAAAAGCAAAGUUUGAAAAGAUACUAACUGCAGUGUGGUUGCUGCCCUACUGCUCAUCAUGUUGCUGUGUUCAGGAAUGUUCAUGACAGUCUUCUUUACAGCCUAGAGCAGCACUGUCCUGUUACACAGACUAGGAACUGAAGCAUAA